This 161-nucleotide ribosomal RNA is filed under the name uncultured bacterium. Its description in RNAcentral is "partial 16S ribosomal RNA". It matches the Rfam family "Bacterial small subunit ribosomal RNA", at positions 359 to 524 of the family's 1533-position model. The record is from RNAcentral.
GCUAACAAUGGGUGCAGCCUGAUCCAGCCAUCCCGCGUGAGGAUUAAGGUCCUAUGGAUUGUAAACUUCUUUUAUACAGGGAUAAACCUCUCCACGUGUGGAGAGCUGAAGGUACUGUAUGAAUAAGCACCGGCUAACUCCAUGCCAGCAGCCGCGGUAAU